GACGAACGCUGGCGGCGUGCUUAACACAUGCAAGUCGAGCGACGCUCUUCCUUCGGGGAGAUGACGGAGCGGCGAACGGGUGAGUAACACGUGGGCAACCUGCCCCUAGCUCUGGGACAACACCGGGAAACCGGUGCUAAUACCGGAUACGACAUCGAGCGGCAUCUCUCGAUGUGGAAAGUUUUUUCGGCUAGGGAUGGGCCCGCGGCCUAUCAGCUUGUUGGUGGGGUAAUGGCCCACCAAGGCGACGACGGGUAGCCGGCCUGAGAGGGCGACCGGCCACACUGGGACUGAGACACGGCCCAGACUCCUACGGGAGGCAGCAGUGGGGAAUAUUGCGCAAUGGGCGAAAGCCUGACGCAGCGACGCCGCGUGAGGGAUGACGGCCUUCGGGUUGUAAACCUCUUUCAGCAGGGACGAAUUCAGACGGUACCUGCAGAAGAAGCGCCGGCCAACUACGUG
Molecule: ribosomal RNA, 462 nt
Filed under: uncultured bacterium
Lineage: Bacteria
Description: partial 16S ribosomal RNA
Rfam family: Bacterial small subunit ribosomal RNA
Source: RNAcentral